GGGGAGUGCGAGGAUGCCAUUUAGAGCUAAUGCUUUCAACUGUGCUUUGCGGGGUGUGCUCGGUUGGCCCACAACUGCGCCCUUCCACCUAGUGUUGGCCCAGCCACCACAGCUGGGGUGUGGCUGCUCAUAAAUAGUCCCUAAAGAACAAUGACGAUUCUUUUUGGAUUCCUGAACACUUCAUCUCAGCUGUGGGAGAACUCCGGGGGGUGUGUCCAGUUCUCAGUGAUGUUUUUUUCCUAAUUUUUUUUUUUUAAUCUCAAAGAUGUUUUAAUCAAAGCUCUGCUUCCUUCCUGGAGCUGCUUUGGGAAUGGCCUUGUUCUCCGUGUCCUGGCUUUGACAAUAGCACCUCCACUGAAUUUUUCCUUAGCAGCUCUCAGAUUUGGGUCUGUCCCAUCCCCUCCCCUCUGCACGCUCCCCUUUCCUCUCUUCUCUGUUUUGGCACCGCAUAGUUCUUUUCAGUAAAGUGGCUGAAGGGUAACAAACCCAAAAUACCUAAGUAACAAAUGAGUCACCACACUUCAACAGCCGGCGGGUGUGCUGGGGGUAAAUAGCAGAGGAGGUGGCUGCCCAGAAAGAGACACAGGGAGAGGAAGGGAGAAAAAUAGAAACAAAACCAACCAGUUGGCAGAGGCGGCCGGCAGCAGCUGAGUGGGCAGCGGGGGCGGGAGGCUUGGGGUUGGCUUGCAAAGCUCUUCCACCCGUGUCCCUCAUAAGUGCAAAACCAGAUGCCAGAGACUUGGAAAGAGCAAAGUUUGAUGUCAAGAGGAAGCAGGAAGACUUACAGCUAGCGAGGCUCUGGCCACUAGAAAGAAAGACCAGACCCAAGACUUGAUAAAGGUAAACUUGCUUGUCCUCGUAAAGUUCCUUGAAAGUGCUGCCUCUGCUUACUUCAACCUCGCCUCGUGGAGCCAAUCCAGUAAAAAACGAAAAGUCUUCUUUGGAAAGGAUUCAUGAAACUCAGCUCUGGAAAGUCCAUAUUCUUGGCCUCAAAAGUCUUCAUUUUAAAAUUCUUUUUUUAAAGCUACAUAUAAAGUGCAUACUUGUUCUAAAAAUAAAAAUAGAUACAAAAAUUUAGCCAUAGUUCCAACAUUUUAGUGUAUUUCCUCCCAGUCCUUUUAUAGGCAUAGAUUUAUUCUUUCAACAUAGUUGUAUUUAUCCUGUAUUUGGAAUUUUGUAUGCUGCCUUUUGCUAAAUACAUCUUACUGUUUUCCCUGCUAUCAUAUGGAAAAUUAUGCUACUGUGAUUGUUAAUGGUUGCCUAAUAAUCCAUAGAGUUUACUAAUCAUCCCAUUUUUCCAACAUGAAAUAUGUUUACAAUUUUAAAAUAUAUGCCUUUAUUUAAUUAUUGUAUAGUAAGAUUACUCUGGAAUUGUUCUGUAUGACAUUGCAAAAGAUGGGUAAAAGCCAUUAUACAUUUUGUCAAA
Molecule: long non-coding RNA, 1426 nt
Filed under: Dasypus novemcinctus (nine-banded armadillo)
Lineage: Eukaryota; Metazoa; Chordata; Mammalia; Cingulata; Dasypodidae
Description: lncRNA (ENSDNOG00000050379.1)
Source: RNAcentral